AGGUGCUGCAUGGUUGUCGUCAGCUCGUGCCGUGAGGUGUCGGCUUAAGUGCCAUAACGAGCGCAACCCUUGCCAUUAGUUGCCAUCAGGUAAUGCUGGGGACUCUGUCGGUACUGCCAUCGUAAGAUGUGAGGAAGGUGGGGAUGACGUCAAAUCAGCACGGCCCUUACGUCCGGGGCUACACACGUGUUACAAUGGGAGGUACAGAAGGCCGCUACCCGGCGACGGGAUGCCAAUCCCCAAAACCUCUCUCAGUUCGGAUUGGAGUCUGCAACCCGACUCCAUGAAGCUGGAUUCGCUAGUAAUCGCGCAUCAGCCACGGCGCG
Molecule: ribosomal RNA, 326 nt
Filed under: uncultured Bacteroidales bacterium
Lineage: Bacteria; Pseudomonadati; Bacteroidota; Bacteroidia; Bacteroidales
Description: bacterial SSU rRNA
Rfam family: Bacterial small subunit ribosomal RNA
Source: RNAcentral